AGGAUUAGAUACCCUGGUAGUCCACGCCGUAAACGGUGGGCACUAGGUGUGGGGACUUUUCAACGGUUUCCGCGCCGCAGCUAACGCAUUAAGUGCCCCGCCUGGGGAGUACGGUCGCAAGACUAAAACUCAAAGAAAUUGACGGGGGCCCGCACAAGCAGCGGAGCAUGUGGCUUAAUUCGAUGCAACGCGAAAAACCUUACCUAGAUUUGACAUGCUGGGAAAAGCCACAGAGAUGUGGUGUCCUUCGGGGCCCAGCACAGGUGGUGCAUGGCUGUCGUCAGCUCGUGUCGUGAGAUGUUGGGUUAAGUCCCGCAACGAGCGCAACCCUUGUUCUAUGUUGCCAGCACGUAAUGGUGGGGACUCGUAGAAGACUGCCGGGGUCAACUCGGAGGAAGGUGGGGACGACGUCAAGUCAUCAUGCCCCUUACGUCUAGGGCUGCACACAUGCUACAAUGGGCGGUACAGAGGGCUGCUAAACCGCGAGGUGGAGCCAAUCCCUAAAACCGCUCUCAGUUCAGAUUGCAGGCUGCAACUCGCCUGCAUGAAGUUGGAGUUGCUAGUAAUCCCGGAUCAGCACUGCCGGGGUGAAUACGUUCCCGGGCCUUGUACACACCGCCCGUCAAACCACGAAAGUUGGCAAC
Molecule: ribosomal RNA, 644 nt
Filed under: uncultured Actinomycetes bacterium
Lineage: Bacteria; Bacillati; Actinomycetota; Actinomycetes
Description: bacterial SSU rRNA
Rfam family: Bacterial small subunit ribosomal RNA
Source: RNAcentral